AGUCAGCCAGGAUGUUGGCUUAGAAGCAGCCAUCAUUUAAAGAAAGCGUAUUAGCUCACUGGUCGAGUCGGCCUGCGCGGAAGAUGUAACGGGGCUAAACCAUGCACCGAAGCUGCGGCAGCGAACGUAUCACUUAAAGCGAUUCAGCGGGUUACGAUUGACGGAGCGAAGCGACGUCAAAGCGUAUACAAAGUCGAGUCGGUUUAAGGAUACGUUCGUUGGGUAGGGGAGCGUUCUGUAAGCCUGUGAAGGUGUGUCGUGAGGCAUGCUGGAGGUAUCAGAAGUGCGAAUGCUGACAUAAGUAACGAUAAAGCGGGUGAAAAGCCCGCUCGCCGGAAGACCAAGGGUUCCUGUCCAACGUUAAUCGGGGCAGGGUGAGUCGACCCCUAAGGCGAGGCCGAAAGGCGUAGUCGAAGGGAAACGGGUUAAUAUUCCCGUACUUGGUGUUACAGCGAAGGGGGGACGGAGAAGGCUAUGUUGGCCGGGCGACGGUUGUCCCGGUUUAAGCGUGUAGGUGUGUGUUCCAG
This 527-nucleotide ribosomal RNA is filed under the name Salmonella enterica subsp. enterica serovar Anatum. RNAcentral describes it as "bacterial LSU rRNA". It matches the Rfam family "Bacterial large subunit ribosomal RNA", at positions 1087 to 1535 of the family's 2925-position model. The record is from RNAcentral. Lineage: Bacteria; Pseudomonadati; Pseudomonadota; Gammaproteobacteria; Enterobacterales; Enterobacteriaceae.